AGAUGCAACGCCAGGGAAGUCACCAAAACCGGGGCAGAAAAUUUUCUGCCGAUUGUCAAAAAAAUUUCUCGGAAGAACGGGGGAACAAUAUCAAAUACAUUUAAGUUCUAGGUCGCCCACUAGUAUAAUGCGGGAAUACUUUUAAGGUCUAGGUCGCCCACCAGUAUAAUGCAGGAAUACUUUUAAGUUCUAGGUCGCCCACCAGUAUAAUGCGGGAAUACUUUUAAGUUCUAGGUCGCCCGCCAGUAUAAUGCGGGAAUACUUUUAAGUUCUAGGUCGCCCACCAGUAUAAUGCGGG
This 298-nucleotide long non-coding RNA is filed under the name Nicotiana tabacum (common tobacco). Its description in RNAcentral is "long non-coding RNA (NTAB_LNC017602)". The record is from RNAcentral. Lineage: Eukaryota; Viridiplantae; Streptophyta; Magnoliopsida; Solanales; Solanaceae.